GAUGAACGCUGGCGGCGUUCCUAAUACAUGCAAGUCGAGCGAACGGACGAGAAGCUUGCUUCUCUGAUGUUAGCGGCGGACGGGUGAGUAACACGUGGAUAACCUACCUAUAAGACUGGGAUAACUUCGGGAAACCGGAGCUAAUACCGGAUAAUAUUUUGAACCGCAUGGUUCAAAAGUGAAAGACGGUCUUGCUGUCACUUAUAGAUGGAUCCGCGCUGCAUUAGCUAGUUGGUAAGGUAACGGCUUACCAAGGCAACGAUGCAUAGCCGACCUGAGAGGGUGAUCGGCCACACGGGAACUGAGACACGGUCCAGACUCCUACGGGAGGAAGCAGUAGGGAAUCUUCCGCAAUGGGAGAAAGCCGGACGGAGCAACGGCGCGGGAGUGAUGAAGGUCUUCGGAUCGUAAAACUCUGUUAUUAGGGAAGACCAUAUGUGUAAGUAACUGUGCACAUCGUGACGGUACCUAAUCAGAAAGCAACGGCUAACUACGUG
RNAcentral lists this ribosomal RNA (497 nucleotides) under uncultured bacterium. Its description in RNAcentral is "partial 16S ribosomal RNA". It matches the Rfam family "Bacterial small subunit ribosomal RNA", at positions 28 to 507 of the family's 1533-position model. The record is from RNAcentral.